Long non-coding RNA from Phyllopteryx taeniolatus (common seadragon), 1404 nucleotides. RefSeq lists it as uncharacterized. The record is from RefSeq and is a predicted model, not a curated record. Lineage: Eukaryota; Metazoa; Chordata; Actinopteri; Syngnathiformes; Syngnathidae. The transcript is spliced from 3 exons.
GGAAUAGAGGGGAAAUAGAAUGGGAUAAAGACAAUUGUCAUUAAAAAAACAAAAACAAAAAAACAUGAUUCUACUUACAUAAAUAACAGAAGUCAUCACACAUUUUCCUGAAUAGGCUACUGAAUACCCACUUCAAUCAAGUGGCGACGACAACAAGAGUGGAGCGCGCAGACUGUAUUCUAAGGACAAAAUGGGGAAAAACGUGUGUUGGUGGUCACCGGUGCUCAGGACAGGAGAGGAAGUUCGUUUAAGGCUUGCUUGAGAGUAAAAACGCACCCGACUGGAUGGGUAACCCAUGUGACCAUGUGGGUACGUCACAAAAGAUACAAUCUUUGGCUGACUGGCCCACGUGACCAAAAGGCUGCAUUGGGAGGGAUGCAGAAACAACUCUGUGCCCUGAGUUACUUCCAAGGCUACAGUAUAGCCACUAUUCCAGUCUGAGCGUCGCAUCGCAAUCGAUUGGGAGAGAGGCGCAUAGUUGUUCACCCCGCGCUCCGUCCCAGCAAACAUUGAUCCAUGGGCCGGCCUCGGAUGCUAGUGGACCUCCACUUUGAGAAGCCGCAUCCCGGCCGCUGGCAGCUGCAACCGGAAAGCCCCACGAGCCUGCCUUGCGCAGGCCACCGCCACCACCACUCCCCCUCGAGGAGAUGAUCCGCCGAAUUAUUGAACCAUUUUGUAACAGCAGCACUCUUUAGUGGUAUACUAGUGAGUGUUUAGCUCAAGAUGAAGGUUGUCGGUGAAAGAACAUCACACGGAGAGUAACAAUUCCGACUCCCAAUAACAACAUAUCUGUUAAAUAUAUUAUAGAAGUUAUCAUUUAUUUGCUUAGCUUGCAUUAGUAUAAUGGACAAUUUUAGAUGUUUCGCCUUCAAAAAGAAGACUCAGCAUCAUCCGAUGGAAGGGCGCCUGGACCAAGGACGUGAUCGGAUGUGGUCGGGUCGUGACAGGUGUUGGUCCAAUAUUAUGUGUUGUGUCUUAUUGCUUAGAAUACUAUGUCUGGGAAAAACCCUCUUAUUAUCAAAUAUUUUGUGUUGUGUCUUAUUACUUAGAACAUUAUGAUUUGUAAAUCCCUCCUAUUUCAAAUAAAUGCAGGAGCGAGGGGGGGGGGGAUUGUUUAGAGCGUGUUGAGAGACUGUGAUCUGAACAAUCUCCCAUACGCCCUCCUCAUGAGAAAAAGAAACCAGCGUCUUCAUUCCUUUUGUGUCUAUUAUAAUGUUGGGUAAGAUAAAUCUAACAAUAUCCCUCAGCCAAUACAUCACAGUAGUCCCAAAAAUGAAAUAAUGAGGGAGCUCCACUCCAUACAAAUACAUAUAUCAAUGCAAAAAUAAAUCUGAUAGACUUCCCUAUCCCUGCGACUGCCUGGUAACCAGUUCAGGGUGUACCUUGCCUCCUGCCCGAUGAUAG